AAACUUACCUGGUUGGGAAUGGCCUAGCUCCUCCAUUGGGCUGUUCUAUUCUCGAGCAGAGCAAUGCACCCAGCUGUCUGUAAAGGAGUAUGACUCUUCUUUGUAAGGGCAUCAACAACACAAUUUUUGCUAGAGGCGCAUCAACUUCGGUUGUGUGCCAA
This is a small nuclear RNA of Condylostylus longicornis, 161 nucleotides long. RefSeq annotates it as U1 spliceosomal RNA. NCBI's taxonomy places the organism in Eukaryota, Metazoa, Arthropoda, Insecta, Diptera, Dolichopodidae. The record is from RefSeq and is a predicted model, not a curated record. The transcript has a single exon.